GGCCACCUUCGGGGGGCUUCACCAUAGGCAGAGUAUCUGCCGCUAAGCAAACGGAAGACAGAAA
Rhodobacteraceae bacterium SB2 is the source of this 64-nucleotide regulatory RNA element. It matches the Rfam family "L2-Alphaproteobacteria ribosomal protein leader". The record is from Rfam. NCBI's taxonomy places the organism in Bacteria, Pseudomonadati, Pseudomonadota, Alphaproteobacteria, Rhodobacterales, Paracoccaceae.